This 857-nucleotide long non-coding RNA is filed under the name Equus asinus (donkey). RNAcentral describes it as "lncRNA (ENSEASG00005036173.1)". The record is from RNAcentral. Lineage: Eukaryota; Metazoa; Chordata; Mammalia; Perissodactyla; Equidae.
GAGAUAACGUAGGGCAGAUCCUGAGGGUGGACUCCGUUGCCUCGUUAGGGAGAAGUCUCUAUAGCAUCUUUCUACACUAGAGGAAGAUUAGCCCUGAGCUAACAUCUGCUGCCAAUCCUCACCUUUUUUUCUGAGGAAGACUGGCCCUGAGCUAACAUUCGUGCUCAUCUUCCUCUACUUUAUAUAUGGGACGCCUGCCACAGCAUGGCUCAACAAGCAGUGCAUGGGGCUGCACCCAGGAUCCGAACUGCUGAACCCCGGGCUGCCGAAGCAGAACAUGUGAACUCCACUGCUGCACCAGCAGGUGGGAGUCAAGAGAGUGCACACAGAAUAUAAAGCCCCUUCUCAGGAACACAUUUAAAAGCCUGACGUGUCCUGUCCAGCAUGUGUUGUACAUCUGCUUUAAACAUUUACAACAUCCCAAAGCCAAAAGUGAUGCCCUUAAAGACAGAAAUGUAUGCCUCCCCCUAUAUCAGCAUUUCUUUGAAGAUAAGCAUUUCUUCCCAGAAACUAAGGGCCAAACUGACCUACUGUGCUCAUCUUUGACCACUGACUGCUGUGCUAGCAAAACGUCUUAUGACUGUAGUAAGAGAGAUGUUCCUAUCAUACUUGAUGUAUGUUCCUUGUUCCAAGAAGGUAUAGAGGCAUACUGUGCACCUCGCUUCUUCAGAGUGCUUCCUUCCUUGGUGAAGGUGUUCUCCUGGGCAAUAUAGACCUCAAAACUGGCUCAUAUGAUAAAGUCACCCCAAUUUUGAUUUAUAGAUUGAUUAUUUAUUAUUUGCAUGGAUAGGUAUAUUUGAAAGUUGCUAAGAGAGAAAACCCUAAAAGUUCUUAUCACUGAAAAAAAAAAAUUUGUG